Molecule: ribosomal RNA, 406 nt
Filed under: uncultured bacterium
Lineage: Bacteria
Description: bacterial SSU rRNA
Rfam family: Bacterial small subunit ribosomal RNA
Source: RNAcentral
GAUGAACGCUAGCGGCAGGCUUAAUACAUGCAAGUCGUGGGGGCAGCAUGUCCCGCAGCAAUGCGGGAUGAUGGCGACCGGCAAACGGGUGCGGAACACGUACACAACCUUCCUUUAAGUGGGGAAUAGGCCAGGGAAACUUGGGUUAAUACCCCGUAAUAUAUAGAAGCGGCAUCGUUUUUAUAUUAUAGCAGCAAUGCGCUUGAAGAUGGGUGUGCGGCUGAUAGAUAGUUGGCGGGGUAAUGGCCCACCAAGUCGACGAUCAGUAACUGGUGUGAGAGCACGACCAGUCACACGGGCACUGAGACACGGGCCCGACUCCUACGGGAGGCAGCAGUAAGGAAUAUUGGUCAAUGGACGCAAGUCUGAACCAGCCAUGCCGCGUGGAGGAUGAAGGUCCUCUGGA